RNAcentral lists this ribosomal RNA (301 nucleotides) under uncultured bacterium. RNAcentral's name for it is "partial 16S ribosomal RNA". It matches the Rfam family "Bacterial small subunit ribosomal RNA", at positions 509 to 807 of the family's 1533-position model. The record is from RNAcentral.
CAGCAGCCGCGGUAAUACGAAGGGUGCAAGCGUUAAUCGGAAUUACUGGGCGUAAAGCGUGCGUAGGCGGUUUGUUAAGUCUGUUGUGAAACCCCCGGGCUCAACCUGGGAAUGGCAGUGGAUACUGGCAAGCUAGAGUGUGUCAGAGGAUGGUGGAAUUCCCGGUGUAGCGGUGAAAUGCGUAGAGAUCGGGAGGAACAUCAGUGGCGAAGGCGGCCAUCUGGGACAACACUGACGCUGAGGCACGAAAGCGUGGGGAGCAAACAGGAUUAGAUACCCCUGUAGUCCCUGUCUCUUAUAC